GAUGAACGCUGGCGGCGUGCCUAAUACAUGCAAGUCGAGCGAAGAGACGAGGAGCUUUCUCCUCUGACAUUAGCGGCGGAAGGGUGAGUAAAACGUGGAUAAACUACCUAUAAGACUGGGAUAACUUCGGGAAACCGGAGCUAAUACCGGAUAAUAUAUUGAACCGCAUGGUUCAAUAGUGAAAGACGGUUUUGCUGUCACUUAUAGAUGGAUCCGCGCCGCAUUAGCCAGUUGGUAAGGUAACGGCUUACCAAGGCAACGAUGCGUAGCCGACCUGAGAGGGUGAUCGGCCACACUGGAACUGAGACACGGUCCAGACUCCUACGGGAGGCAGCAGUAGGGAAUCUUCCGCAAUGGGCGAAAGCCUGACGGAGCAACGCCGCGUGAGUGAUGAAGGUCUUCGGAUCGUAAAACUCUGUUAUUAGGGAAGAACAAAUGUGUAAGUAACUAUGCACGUCUUGACGGUACCUAAUCAGAAAGCCACGGCUAACUACGUG
This 497-nucleotide ribosomal RNA is filed under the name uncultured bacterium. Its description in RNAcentral is "partial 16S ribosomal RNA". It matches the Rfam family "Bacterial small subunit ribosomal RNA", at positions 28 to 507 of the family's 1533-position model. The record is from RNAcentral.